Molecule: ribosomal RNA, 429 nt
Filed under: uncultured bacterium
Lineage: Bacteria
Description: bacterial SSU rRNA
Rfam family: Bacterial small subunit ribosomal RNA
Source: RNAcentral
UGGGGAAUAUUGCGCAAUGGGCGGAAGCCUGACGCAGCGACGCCGCGUGAGGGAUGACGGCCUUCGGGUUGUAAACCUCUUUCAGCAGGGACGAAGCGAAAGUGACGGUACCUGCAGAAGAAGCACCGGCUAACUACGUGCCAGCAGCCGCGGUAAUACGUAGGGUGCGAGCGUUGUCCGGAAUUAUUGGGCGUAAAGAGCUCGUAGGCGGCUUGUCACGUCGGUUGUGAAAUCCCGGGGCUCAACCCCGGGUCUGCAGUCGAUACGGGCUGGCUAGAGUGCGGUAGGGGAGACUGGAAUUCCUGGUGUAGCGGUGAAAUGCGCAGAUAUCAGGAGGAACACCGGUGGCGAAGGCGGGUCUCUGGGCCGUAACUGACGCUGAGGAGCGAAAGCGUGGGGAGCGAACAGGAUUAGAUACCCCCGUAGUCC